GAUAAAGAACGUAGCGAAAUGCGAUAAGUAAUGUGAAUUGCAGAAUUCAGUGAAUCAUCGAAUCUUUGAACGCACAUUGCGCCCCUUGGUAUUCCGAGGGGCAUGCCUGUUCGAGCGUCAUUAUAACCCCUCAAGCUCAGCUUGGUGUUGGGGCCUGCUGCACUGGCAGCCCUUAAAAUCAGUGGCGGCGCCAUCUGGCUCUAAGCGUAGUAAUUCUUCUCGCUAUGGAGUCCUGGUGGAUGCUUGCCAUCAACCCCCAAUUUUUCUAUGGUUGACCUCGGAUCAGGUAGGGAUACCCGCUGAACUUAAGCAUAUCAAUAAGCGGAGGA
RNAcentral lists this unclassified non-coding RNA (329 nucleotides) under soil metagenome. RNAcentral describes it as "partial contains 5.8S ribosomal RNA, internal transcribed spacer 2, and large subunit ribosomal RNA". The stretch from base 1 to 120 matches the Rfam family "5.8S ribosomal RNA", at positions 35 to 154 of the family's 154-position model. The record is from RNAcentral.